Molecule: non-coding RNA, 209 nt
Organism: Benincasa hispida (wax gourd)
Lineage: Eukaryota; Viridiplantae; Streptophyta; Magnoliopsida; Cucurbitales; Cucurbitaceae
Source: RefSeq, a predicted model, not a curated record
UUAUUAAAGCACACUCACUCUAACGGCGUACCUUUUGCAUGAUGGGUCAGCGAGAAAAUGGGAACAGCGGCUUAAGCCAUUAAGUGUAGGCACUUUCCAGAGGUGGAAUCUUCGAGUUCUUCUUAUUUGACCCGAAACCGAUCGAUCUAGCCAUGAGCAGGUUGAAGAGAGCUCUAACAGGCCUUGGAGGACCGAACCCACGUAUGUGG